UUUUGCCUUUCAAGCAAACAACAUUGUUCCCGCCAUUUUUUAGCCUUGCGUGUGGUCUCGCGUGAUGUUCGCGAAUCAUAUUCACCGGUGAAUUUGACUCAUAUUCACCGGUGAAUAUGACUGAAAUUUCCUGCUGCACCAAAUACGAAUGACGUAAGCGCGAUACGAUGAUAAAUUUCACGAUCACAUGGCACAAAUCUAGCUUUCUCAUUGGACAAUUUUAAUUUGAGGUAUAAUAUUA
Non-coding RNA from Paramuricea clavata, 241 nucleotides. NCBI's taxonomy places the organism in Eukaryota, Metazoa, Cnidaria, Anthozoa, Malacalcyonacea, Plexauridae. The record is from the annotation of a GenBank genome assembly.